GCCGCGAUAGCCCAGUUGGUAGAGGCGUUGGCAAUACAGAUGUCAUAAGUAGCAGGUUCAAAUCCUGCCUGCGGUG
This is a non-coding RNA of Phthorimaea operculella (potato tuberworm), 76 nucleotides long. The record is from the annotation of a GenBank genome assembly. NCBI's taxonomy places the organism in Eukaryota, Metazoa, Arthropoda, Insecta, Lepidoptera, Gelechiidae.